This 333-nucleotide unclassified non-coding RNA is filed under the name uncultured Archaeosporaceae. RNAcentral describes it as "sequence contains 18S rRNA gene". The record is from RNAcentral. Lineage: Eukaryota; Fungi; Glomeromycota; Glomeromycetes; Archaeosporales; Archaeosporaceae. RNAcentral also lists the same sequence under 1 other name.
CCCAACUAUCCCUAUUAAUCAUUACGGUGAUCCUAGAAACCAACAAAAUAGAACCAACGUCCUAUUCUAUUAUUCCAUGCUAAUCUAUUCAAGCAAAUGCCUGCUUUAAACACUCUAAUUUUUUCAAGGUAAUGGUCCUGGCUCCCCGGUACACUCAAUAAAGAACAUGCCGGUUCACCAGAAGGUAAGACCCGACACAGAACAGUACUCGCCAAAGACGGACCGCCCGGCCAGGCCUAAAAUUCAACUACGAGCUUUUUAACUGCAACAACUUUAAUAUACGCUAUUGGAGCUGGAAUUACCGCGGCUGCUGGCACCAGACUUGCCCUCCAA